This 900-nucleotide ribosomal RNA is filed under the name uncultured archaeon. RNAcentral's name for it is "bacterial SSU rRNA". It matches the Rfam family "Archaeal small subunit ribosomal RNA", at positions 5 to 879 of the family's 1478-position model. The record is from RNAcentral.
CGGUUGAUCCUGCCGGGGACCACUGCUAUUGGGAUUCGAAUAAGACAUGCGAGUUGAGCGUCUCUAAAGCUAUGGUAGAGACGCAGCGUACGGCUCAGUAACACGUGGCCAACCUACCCUUAGGACGGGGAUAACCCCGGGAAACUGGGGCUAAUACCCGAUAGGUGAGGAAGCCUGGAAUGGUUCCUCACCGAAAAGGCGUUGAAACCAUGCUUUUCAACGUCGCCUAAGGAUGGGGCCGCGUCCGAUCAGGUUGUUGGUGAGGUAACGGCUCACCAAGCCUAUGACCGGUACGGGCCGUGAGAGCGGGAGCCCGGAGAUGGGCCCUGAGACAAGGGCCCAGGCCCUACAGGGCGCAGCAGUCGCGAAAACUUCACAAUGUGGGAAACCACGAUGAGGGAAUUCCAAGUGCCAACACAUUGUGUUGGCUGUACCUCUGCCUAAAAAGCAGGUGAAGUAAGGGCCGGGUAAGACGGGUGCCAGCCGCCGCGGUAAUACCCGCGGCCCGAGUGGUGGUCGUUAUUAUUGAGCCUAAAGCGUCCGUAGCCGGUUUAGUAAAUCUCUGGGUAAAUCGGGCGGCUUAACCGUCCGAAUUCCGGAGAGACUGCUAAACUUGGGACCGGGGGAGGUUGGAGGUACUCCUAGGGUAGGGGUGAAAUCCUGUAAUCCUAGGGGGACCACCAGUGGCGAAGGCGUCCAACCAAAACGGCUCCGACGGUGAGGGACGAAGCCUUGGGGCGCAAACGGGAUUAGAUACCCCGGUAGUCCAAGGUGUAAACGCUGCAGGUUUGGUGUUGGGCGUCCCACGAGGGCGCCCAGUGCCGGAGAGAAGUUGUUAAACCUGCCGCUUGGGGAGUACGUCCGCAAGGAUGAAACUUAAAGGAAUUGGCGGGGGAGCAC